AAAAAAUGGAAAAAGCAAACUCUAUACCUCUCGGAGGUGAAGAAGCCUGCCCGGAAUCGGAGGCGCAACAAGAAUGCUAAUUAAUGGAGAAGCUAGCGGUAAUGCAUCCGAGGACGAAAGAGGAGCGUGACAUUCCUCCGUUACCCAGCAGCAUCACAGAUGGAUGGAUGGAGGUGAAGAAGCGGUUCGUUCCUGGCCAGAAUUCAAUUGGAGGCGCAGGAUGCCUGCAGAGAAGCUGCGCCCGAGCUAGUUUUCAGAACAAAUGCAAUGAAUGCUGCUUCAGGAUCUGCUUAUGCUGAAAUCGGGAGUACUCAGGUCAUAGUGGCCGGGUGAGUUCAAUCAUUUAUCCCUCAAAUUGACAAAUAUAAUGAUUCCUCCAUUGAU
Punica granatum (pomegranate) is the source of this 384-nucleotide non-coding RNA. The record is from RefSeq and is a predicted model, not a curated record. NCBI's taxonomy places the organism in Eukaryota, Viridiplantae, Streptophyta, Magnoliopsida, Myrtales, Lythraceae.